This 464-nucleotide ribosomal RNA is filed under the name uncultured bacterium. Its description in RNAcentral is "partial 16S ribosomal RNA". It matches the Rfam family "Bacterial small subunit ribosomal RNA", at positions 339 to 795 of the family's 1533-position model. The record is from RNAcentral.
CUACGGGAGGCUGCAGUGGGGAAUAUUGCACAAUGGGCGCAAGCCUGAUGCAGCCAUGCCGCGUGUAUGAAGAAGGCCUUCGGGUUGUAAAGUACUUUCAGCGGGGAGGAAGGGAGUAAAGUUAAUACCCUUGCUCAUUGACGUUACCCGCAGAAGAAGCACCGGCUAACUCCGUGCCAGCAGCCGCGGUAAUACGGAGGGUGCAAGCGUUAAUCGGAAUUACUGGGCGUAAAGCGCACGCAGGCGGUUUGUUAAGUCAGAUGUGAAAUCCCCGGGCUCAACCUGGGAACUGCAUCUGAUACUGGCAAGCUUGAGUCUCGUAGAGGGGGGUAGAAUUCCAGGUGUAGCGGUGAAAUGCGUAGAGAUCUGGAGGAAUACCGGUGGCGAAGGCGGCCCCCUGGACGAAGACUGACGCUCAGGUGCGAAAGCGUGGGGGGCAAACAGGAUUAGAUACCCCGGUAGUC